AUCGGGGCGGUUGGGAGCGCUAGCUGCCACCUACAGCCUCGCGGGCAGCCGAGAGGUACCUUUUUCCCUCCUUGGCCUCAUGAGGUGGUAGAAAUUAGGUGGCCUCGGACCCUAAUGAAGUGACAUUUGCUGCAGAGCAACUUCAGGGGAAGCUCAUUUGGCGGCCAAACUUGGUCAAAGGGACAUGAGGCUAUUUAUCCACUGCGUAGUCCGUUCAUCGGGUUUGCUGCUGGGGCAUUAGGUAACGUGCGGUGUCUGUACCAUAAACACUUCCUAAAAUACAGAAAGCGGUGAGCGCUGAGACAUGUCGGCCCAACUGUGUCGGGAGGUGAAACUCGCUUGGCAGGGAGCAAUAGUGCCUGCCACAGGAGGCCUGGACGGAGGGCCCUCCCCGCCUGCAGAUUGCUGCCUUUGGCAGGAAGUAGGGGAGGUGUGGGGUCUGGAUGAGGAGGUUUUGUACGGGAUCAUGUGCAUCACCAAGAGGCAGCUCUCCUGGCCUGCUCCCCAGACGCCACUGUGGUCAUUCCUGUGCCUUCCGAGAAGGCCUCGCAGUUUCUGGGCGAGAUGCCAUGGAGCUGGAAGCUGUGUCCUUGUCUCCAUCCGUCCAGCCUGAGAUGCUGGCAACAGUACAGAACAGGCCAGUCUCAUGGCCCCUUACUCUUUGUACCCUAGCUUGUUUCCUUACUAACGCUGCGUCUUCAUCCUUUGCUUUUUUUUUAAUACCUUUAUUGAGACAUCAUUUACUUGCCAGAAAAUUCACCCUUUAAAAUGUACAGUUCAGGAGUCCCUGAGUGGCUCAGUUGGUUAAGCAUCCAGCUCUUGAUUUCUUUUCAGAUCAUGAUCUCAGGGUUGAUAGACUGAGCCCCACAUCAGGCUCCGUGCUGGGCGUGGAGCCUGCUUAAGAUUCUGUCUCUCCUUCUCCACCCCCCCAAAUACAAUAAAAUGUACAAUUCAGCGUUUUCAGUAUAUUCACAGAGUUGUGCAGUUGACACCACCCCAGGGGCGCCUGGCUGUCUCAGUCAGUAGAGCGUGUGACUCUUGAGCUCAGGGUCAGGAGUUCAAGCCCCACAUUGGGCGUGGAGCUUAUUUAAGAAAAAAAAAUUAAAACAUUUCAUCACCCCAAAAAGAAGCCUCAUACCCAUUACCUGUACUCCCUAUUCUUCUCUGCCCCCUGACAUUGGAAACCACGAAUCUCUCGGUCUCGUGAAUGUGCUUAUUCUUCAUUAUGAUACAAAAGGAAUUCUACAAUAGGUGCUCUUUUUUUUGUUGUUUUUAAAGAUUUUAUUUAUUUGAGAGAGAGAAUGAGAUAGAGAGCAUGAGAGGGGGAGGGUCAGAGGGGGAGAGGCAGACUCCCUGCUGAGCAGGGAUCCCGAUGCGGGACUUAAUCCCAGGACCGUGGGAUCAUGACCUGAGCCGAAGGUAGUCGCUUAACCAACUGAGCCACCCAGGCGCCCAAUAGGUGCUCUUUUGUGGCUCACUUUCACUUAGCAUAACGUUUUCCUGGUUUACCCAUUUUAUAGCAUGUAUCAGUAGUCUGUUCCUUUUUAUUGCUUAAUAAUAUCCCCUUGUGUGACUAUACCACGUUUAAUUUAUCUGUUUGUCUGUUGAUGGGCUUUUGGAUUAUUUAUACUUUUUGACUUAUGACCAGUGCUAAUGACCGUGAACAUUCGUGUGUAUGUUUUUGUGUAGACGUAUGUUUUCGUUUCUCUUGGACAUAUACCUAGGAGUAGAAUUGAUGGGUCACAUGGUAAGUUUUAUGUUUAACAUUAUAUCAACUGCCAAACUGUUUUCCCAGGUGAUUGCAGUGUAUGAGGGUUCUCUUUUCUCUGCGUUCUUGCCAGCAGUUAUUAUUCUUCUCGGUUAUAGUCAUUCUCAUUCAUUUUGGUUGAUAACAAGUGAUACUGAGCAGCUUUUCAUGUGCUAAUUGGCUAUUUGCAUAUUUUCUUUGGAGAAUGUCUAUUCAAGUCCUUUGCUCAUUUUUAAAUUACAUGAUUUGUCUUUCUAUUAUUGAUUCUAAGAAUUCGUUGUAUGUUCUGGAUGUAAGUGAUUUCACUUUAUUUACUGUGUAUUGGCUAUGUUUUUCUGUUACUUCGCUUUUCUCAUGAUUUUUUGUUGAGAAAUUGAUAUUUUUAAUAAUAGGUGACAACUCUAGAAAUGAGAUAAUUUUCCCCAAGGCUUGUUGUUGUUGCUGUUUGUUUAUAGUGACUUUCCUGGACUAAUUUGUAAAGUCUGUUUUUGUCAUGUGCAGCCAUUGAAAUCUCUGCUCAGCUAGCUAAUGAUUUGACAGAGAUUUUCUUAAAUUCCUUGAAGCAGUACGUUUUCCCCCUUUUUGAGGGCCUCUUUGUGUGGUGAGGGGGUGCCUUCAACAUGUCCAAGUAAUUUACAUCUCUGCCUUAGCUUUCACUUCCUGUUUAUGUAGUCUCACGGUCAACCACAUGUGAGAGCAUAGGGCUUUCUGAGGUUUCUCAUGAGCAUACAAGUGAUCUUCUAGAUUCUUAGGAAUAUGUUGAAGCUCUUCAAAGCCUCUUGUGGUCGUCUCAUUCCCUAGCUCUUCCUCUUGUUUGCCCUCAUCUUUUGUGCUCCAGCUGGUAUCACUGCCUUGGGCAUCUGCAGCAUUAAAUGGUUGUCACUGAUUGUUUUCAGCAAAUGCUCUUCAGUUGAAAUAGGAUGCUCCUCACUGACUGAACUCUGAGUUCAGUCCAACAGACAAGCCCAAUGAAUGGGGCUUUUUUUAGGAAGCGACCAGUUAAAUAGUGAUAAUUCUCUGGAGAUGAGGUUUUGGGGGGCUCACUAAACACAUUUGCCCAUGCCAGUGGCUGUUAGGCUGCCGGUUUCUACAGCUGCCAUGGUUGCAAAGUUGUUGGUUUUCAAGGCCAGUGUGGAGGUGGGUAAAAGGGGAGGGGAAUAGUGUAAUUAAACUGCUGCAAAGCUCACUGUCACUAAGAUUCAGCCUUUCUUUCUUGACUAAAAGCUACUCAGAUUGUUGUAAGCCUUUAAUUUCCAGAAUUUAAAAAAUUUUCCAAAGUUUAUAUGAAAAUGUUUUGUUUGGUUUUUUUUUUAAGUUUAUUUUUAUGAUUUGUGCUAGUGUUCUUGAUGGUCUGCGUGGUUCUUGGUUGCUUAGGGCCUGCAUUCUAGUGGCUUCUCUAUGGGUAGAACUUAGCCCAGAAUAGACCUGUGCCUUUACCAUUUGGUCUAACAAGAACGAAAUUAACUCUAGUUAAAGUUUUUACUGAGACUGUCUCUGAAUUUGUGGUGUUUGAAACACUGAAAUUCAGUGUGAAGUGUUGUGUAACAUCUGCUCUGCUUUAAGAAACUAGCUCCUUCAGUUUAUAAGACUUUUGUUUUUAGUAGUCUUAGGUGUGAAGUGUUGGUAUCCAACUAUUCGUUUGUUCUUUUUGUAAAGUGGUCUAGUAUAUCCUGUAGUUAACAAGUUACAGUGUUCGGAUUUUAUCUAAA
Mirounga angustirostris (Northern elephant seal) is the source of this 3456-nucleotide long non-coding RNA. RefSeq lists it as uncharacterized. The record is from RefSeq and is a predicted model, not a curated record. Lineage: Eukaryota; Metazoa; Chordata; Mammalia; Carnivora; Phocidae. The transcript is spliced from 2 exons.